Molecule: long non-coding RNA, 1173 nt
Organism: Macaca fascicularis (crab-eating macaque)
Lineage: Eukaryota; Metazoa; Chordata; Mammalia; Primates; Cercopithecidae
Source: Ensembl
AACCAAUAAGAAAAAUGGUUAUAGAAUAUUUAUACUGCUUAAGGCUAGUAGACUAGAAAACAUGAACAUGAAAGCUCAUAAUCUAUUCUUGUUAGUGGAAUGUAAUGUCCACAGACUAUGAAAUCUGAUGGAGUUACUCUCAUAAAAAUGUUUUCUAAAUGCCUAGUUUUUCCAAUAUUCCCUGAUGGAUACACUAUGGGAAGAAAAAAAAUCAAGAUUGACUUCCAUGAUAAAUCUCUGGUGCUAGAACGGAUAUCCUGCAAGAAGCAAUCAUCAAAUACCAGAAACAAAUAUCUGGAAAGUUUUCCUGCCCUACUUUUUCAUACUAAGUCGGUGAGUGUCCCUACACUUUUCUGCACGCCCAUGACACAAAGAGAGGAAGAAACUUAAAGCCACAUUGAAGAUGUGCAGCACUUACCUAUAGUGUUCCAGGCUCAGAGCCCAAGGUGGAGCUGUUUGAAAAACGAUUACCCUUCUAUUUAUCUGAGGAGUCCACUGGAGGAUAUUUGUUUAAAAGAAUGCCCUACUUAAAAUCUCUGCCUGCCAUUUUUAAUUUCUGUUGAUGGUGUGGUAUCUCAUAGAUAUUAAGCUACUGUGUUAGCCAAAAAAUUGAAGAGAGGCUGUUUCUUUAAAAGACAACAUAUUAUCUUAGCUCUUUAUGUUGUAUUCCUUUUGUAUUUUCUACUACAUGAGAGACUGUAUUUCUCAGCUGCUUAAAACUCUCCAAGUUAUCUUUAUUUUUUUUCUCAAUAUAUUCAAAGAUGUACUUAACUGAGAUCUUUAAAGAGUUCCACCCACCGUGUGUAUCUUACAGAAGGUGUUGGAUAAGCAAUGAAGACAUGAGACAUAAUGACAGUGGUGAUGAUGAUUCUGGUAGUCAAAUUUUCAAAGUGCAAAAAAUGUGGAUUAAUCCCAUAUCAGUAUUAAAAUCACCAUAGUCACUAUUUUUUUCCCUUGACAUGCACAUUACAAAAUAGUUCAUUAUUCUCGCUUGCCAACUGCAUUCUAUAGCAGAAAGCACUAUAAAAUUGUGAAGAGCUCAUACUUUCAAUUGGGUAAACCUGAGUCAGAUUACUGGCAGUUUUAGUAACUACUUAUGUUACUCAGACAAGUUCCUUAAUUUCUCCAGUCCUUAGCGGCCUCUUCCAUAAAACAAGAAAAGGAACAACUAUA